RNAcentral lists this ribosomal RNA (738 nucleotides) under Bacillus subtilis. RNAcentral describes it as "bacterial SSU rRNA". It matches the Rfam family "Bacterial small subunit ribosomal RNA", at positions 75 to 797 of the family's 1533-position model. The record is from RNAcentral. Lineage: Bacteria; Bacillati; Bacillota; Bacilli; Caryophanales; Bacillaceae.
GGAGCUUGCUCCCUGAUGUUAGCGGCGGACGGGUGAGUAACACGUGGGUAACCUGCCUGUAAGACUGGGAUAACUCCGGGAAACCGGGGCUAAUACCGGAUGCUUGUUUGAACCGCAUGGUUCAAACAUAAAAGGUGGCUUCGGCUACCACUUACAGAUGGACCCGCGGCGCAUUAGCUAGUUGGUGAGGUAAUGGCUCACCAAGGCAACGAUGCGUAGCCGACCUGAGAGGGUGAUCGGCCACACUGGGACUGAGACACGGCCCAGACUCCUACGGGAGGCAGCAGUAGGGAAUCUUCCGCAAUGGACGAAAGUCUGACGGAGCAACGCCGCGUGAGUGAUGAAGGUUUUCGGAUCGUAAAGCUCUGUUGUUAGGGAAGAACAAGUACCGUUCGAAUAGGGCGGUACCUUGACGGUACCUAACCAGAAAGCCACGGCUAACUACGUGCCAGCAGCCGCGGUAAUACGUAGGUGGCAAGCGUUGUCCGGAAUUAUUGGGCGUAAAGGGCUCGCAGGCGGUUUCUUAAGUCUGAUGUGAAAGCCCCCGGCUCAACCGGGGAGGGUCAUUGGAAACUGGGGAACUUGAGUGCAGAAGAGGAGAGUGGAAUUCCACGUGUAGCGGUGAAAUGCGUAGAGAUGUGGAGGAACACCAGUGGCGAAGGCGACUCUCUGGUCUGUAACUGACGCUGAGGAGCGAAAGCGUGGGGAGCGAACAGGAUUAGAUACCCUGGUAGUCCA